Epinephelus fuscoguttatus (brown-marbled grouper) is the source of this 204-nucleotide long non-coding RNA. RefSeq lists it as uncharacterized. The transcript has 4 exons. NCBI's taxonomy places the organism in Eukaryota, Metazoa, Chordata, Actinopteri, Perciformes, Serranidae. The record is from RefSeq and is a predicted model, not a curated record.
ACACAAACCUUCUGUGAUGCACGUCGCGCAUGGCUGAUAAAAGACCGAGAGUCACUGGAUAAAACACAUCAGGAUUCCAUGGGGGACCCUGAAAAGGGAGGGAUCUUGCCUCUCUAUACUGCUGGCAAGCAAAGAGAUGGCCAGUGUGUGCACCAUGGUGUGGUGUCUUUACUGAAGUCAUAUCAAGGCUGUGUUAACCCGGGG